UUUGAUGCUAAUCAUGGGGGAGCGGUUUGCGCAAUACCUUCGUUAUGGUUGACACCAAAGAAAAAAGAAGCUUUUUGUCCGCCAUUUAAGGAUCAAAGUAAACUCGAUAAGGCACUGUCACAGCGUGAAGCAGUAGAUGAAAGUUCGUGGCAAUUGUAUAAUGUAUCAAGAAUAUUUUACGAAACAGAUGAUAUUUUGAAAGCAAAAAAGAAAGUAAAAGAAGCUCAUCAGUAUCAUCAAACCUCGAAAGUGAAGAAGAGCUCAAUCGCAGAGGCAACAAGAAACGAAAAUCGAAGGCCACCAAAAAACUUUGUCAAUCAUCUGAUGAUGAAGACAGUAAUGAUUUCGAGCUUUCCAGGCCCCCACCUGUAAAAAGACCAAGCUGUUCUUCUGAAGUACACUCACAAAUUGAACCCAUAGUUGUUCAAAGAACUGAAUUACAAUCUCAAGAUACCCCCAGGUCCACAAAUAACCAUGAUAUAAUUAGAAAUAAUUUUGCUGCGAGGACGGGUUCAACGAGUGGAAUUUCCUCAACUCAACUAACUAUAACAG
Long non-coding RNA from Photinus pyralis (common eastern firefly), 552 nucleotides. RefSeq lists it as uncharacterized. The transcript has 3 exons. The record is from RefSeq and is a predicted model, not a curated record. Lineage: Eukaryota; Metazoa; Arthropoda; Insecta; Coleoptera; Lampyridae.